AGCGGCGGACGGGUGAGUAACGCGUGGGUAACCUGCCUCAUACAGGGGGAUAACAGUUGGAAACGGCUGCUAAUACCGCAUAAGCGCACAGUACCGCAUGGUACGGUGUGAAAAACUCCGGUGGUAUGAGAUGGACCCGCGUCUGAUUAGGUAGUUGGUGGGGUAAUGGCCUACCAAGCCGACGAUCAGUAGCCGACCUGAGAGGGUGACCGGCCACAUUGGGACUGAGACACGGCCCAA
Molecule: ribosomal RNA, 240 nt
Filed under: uncultured bacterium
Lineage: Bacteria
Description: partial 16S ribosomal RNA
Rfam family: Bacterial small subunit ribosomal RNA
Source: RNAcentral